RNAcentral lists this unclassified non-coding RNA (313 nucleotides) under Hevea brasiliensis (rubber tree). The record is from RNAcentral. Lineage: Eukaryota; Viridiplantae; Streptophyta; Magnoliopsida; Malpighiales; Euphorbiaceae.
AUUAUCCGCCGCGCCCGUCUUCAAUCCCUUCCGUUGUAUCCACGCUUCCAAUGUCUUCCCAAAGCCCAUACCCCCUUCACUCUUUUCAAUCCCUUCUGCAGCUCGAUAUCACAGUUUAUUCCAUGGUGGUCUAAGGAAAACCAACUUCGCUGUCUGUUUCGUCCUCGAAGACACAAAACAGAGUGUCCAGAUUGAGAAUCGCACACCGGAACAGUCCGAAGAAGUGAAUUACCAUAUCAUGACGCCCCGUGCGGCGGAGAGAUUGGCCAGGAAGAGAUCCGAGAGGUUCACUUACUUGGUUGCUGCUGUGAUG